This 429-nucleotide ribosomal RNA is filed under the name bacterium. Its description in RNAcentral is "partial 16S ribosomal RNA". It matches the Rfam family "Bacterial small subunit ribosomal RNA", at positions 355 to 776 of the family's 1533-position model. The record is from RNAcentral.
UAGGGAAUCUUCCACAAUGGACGCAAGUCUGAUGGAGCAACGCCGCGUGAGUGAAGAAGGUUUUCGGAUCGUAAAGCUCUGUUGUUGGUGAAGAAGGAUAGAGGUAGUAACUGGCCUUUAUUUGACGGUAAUCAACCAGAAAGUCACGGCUAACUACGUGCCAGCAGCCGCGGUAAUACGUAGGUGGCAAGCGUUGUCCGGAUUUAUUGGGCGUAAAGCGAGCGCAGGCGGAAGAAUAAGUCUGAUGUGAAAGCCCUCGGCUUAACCGAGGAACUGCAUCGGAAACUGUUUUUCUUGAGUGCAGAAGAGGAGGGUGGAACUCCAUGUGUAGCGGUGGAAUGCGUAGAUAUAUGGAAGGACACCAGUGGCGAAAGCGACUCUCUGGUCUGCAACUGACGCUGAGGCUCGAAAGCAUGGGUAGCGAACAGG